RNAcentral lists this ribosomal RNA (774 nucleotides) under uncultured Neocallimastigales. RNAcentral describes it as "partial large subunit ribosomal RNA". It matches the Rfam family "Eukaryotic large subunit ribosomal RNA", at positions 22 to 617 of the family's 3401-position model. Lineage: Eukaryota; Fungi; Neocallimastigomycota; Neocallimastigomycetes; Neocallimastigales. The record is from RNAcentral.
GUACACGCUGUGACUAGCAUAUCAAUAAGCGGAGGAAAAGAAACUAACAAGGAUUCCCCUAGUAACGGCGAGUGAAGCGGGAAGAGCUCAAAUUUGAAAUCUUAAAGGGUUUCCCUUUACGAAUUGUAGUUUAAAGAAGUGUUUUCUGUUGAGGUUUUGGUAAAAGUUCUUUGGAAUAGGACAUCAUAGAGGGUGAGAAUCCCGUAUUUGACCUUUACUUUCAACUUUGUGAUACACUUUCAAAGAGUCGGAUUGUUUGGGAAUGCAGUCCAAAAUGGGUGGUAAAUUUCAUCUAAAGCUAAAUAUUGGCGAGAGACCGAUAGCGAACAAGUACCGUGAGGGAAAGGAUGAAAAGAACUUUGAAAAGAGAGUUAAACAGUACGUGAAAUUGUCAAAAGGGAAGCGUUUGACACCAGUGUUGUUUUUCUGAAAAUCAAUUAAAGAACUGUUUAUGCUAAGUUGUUUAGACUUUAUCAGCUAACUGUUUAGUUUUGAGCUUUUCUUUAAUGCACUUUUCAGUUAACAAGUCAACAUCAAUUUCUUUUGCUGUAAAAAAGCUUGAGGAAGGUGGCUUGAGAUUCGUCUUAAGUGUUUAUAGCCUCUUGCCUAUGCAGUCGGAGAGAUUGAGGUCUGCAGCGUAGAUCCUUCGGGGCUAAAUGCAUUUGUGCUAAGUUAUAGCAUUUUAUAGACAACUUGUUGACUAUGAUUUGUCUUGUAGCUUACUCGCUUAUGUUAUUUUACCUACGCUUAGGAUGUUGAGCGCAUGUCUCUCUC